AGAGUUUGAUCCUGGCUCAGGACGAACGCUGGCGGCGUGCUUAACACAUGCAAGUCGAACGGUAAGGCCCUUCGGGGUACACGAGUGGCGAACGGGUGAGUAACACGUGGGUAAUCUGCCCUGCACAUCGGGAUAAGCCUGGGAAACUGGGUCUAAUACCGAAUAGGACCACAGGACACAUGUCCUGUGGUGGAAAGCUUUUGCGGUGUGGGAUGGGCCCGCGGCCUAUCAGCUUGUUGGUGGGGUGAUGGCCUACCAAGGCGACGACGGGUAGCCGGCCUGAGAGGGUGUCCGGCCACACUGGGACUGAGAUACGGCCCAGACUCCUACGGGAGGCAGCAGUGGGGAAUAUUGCACAAUGGGCGAAAGCCUGAUGCAGCGACGCCGCGUGGGGGAUGACGGCCUUCGGGUUGUAAACCUCUUUCACCAUCGACGAAGGUCCGGGUUUUCUCGGGCUGACGGUAGGUGGAGAAGAAGCACCAGCCAACUACGUGCCAGCAGCCGCGGUAAUACGUAGGGUGCGAGCGUUGUCCGGAAUUACUGGGCGUAAAGAGCUCGUAGGUGGUUUGUCGCGUUGUUCGUGAAAUCUCACGGCUUAACUGUGAGCGUGCGGGCGAUACGGGCAGACUUGAGUACUGCAGGGGAGACUGGAAUUCCUGGUGUAGCGGUGGAAUGCGCAGAUAUCAGGAGGAACACCAGUGGCGAAGGCGGGUCCCUGGGCAGUAACUGACGCUGAGGAGCGAAAGCGUGGGGAGCGAACAGGAUUAGAUACCCUGGUAGUCC
RNAcentral lists this ribosomal RNA (783 nucleotides) under uncultured bacterium. RNAcentral's name for it is "bacterial SSU rRNA". It matches the Rfam family "Bacterial small subunit ribosomal RNA", at positions 8 to 796 of the family's 1533-position model. The record is from RNAcentral.